AGUGAACGCUGGCGGUAGGCCUAACACAUGCAAGUCGAACGGCAGCACAGUAAGAGCUUGCUCUUACGGGUGGCGAGUGGCGGACGGGUGAGGAAUACAUCGGAUUCUACUUUUUCGUGGGGGAUAACGUAGGGAAACUUACGCUAAUACCGCAUACGACCUACGGGUGAAAGCAGGGGAUCUUCGGACCUUGCGCGAUUGAAUGAGCCGAUGUCGGAUUAGCUAGUUGGCGGGGUAAAGGCCCACCAAGGCGACGAUCCGUAGCUGGUCUGAGAGGAUGGUCAGCCACACUGGAACUGAGACACGGUCCAGACUCCUACGGGAGGCAGCAGUGGGGAAUCUUGGACAAUGGGCGCAAGCCUGAUCCAGCCAUACCGCGUGGGUGAAGAAGGCCUUCGGGUUGUAAAGCCCUUUUGUUGGGAAAGAAAAGCAGCAGGUUAAUACCCCGCUGUUCUGACGGUACCCAAAGAAUAAGCACCGGCUAACUUCGUG
RNAcentral lists this ribosomal RNA (492 nucleotides) under uncultured bacterium. RNAcentral describes it as "partial 16S ribosomal RNA". It matches the Rfam family "Bacterial small subunit ribosomal RNA", at positions 29 to 507 of the family's 1533-position model. The record is from RNAcentral.